Molecule: small RNA, 583 nt
Filed under: Pan troglodytes (chimpanzee)
Lineage: Eukaryota; Metazoa; Chordata; Mammalia; Primates; Hominidae
Description: retained intron
Source: RNAcentral
AGUAAAACGAGUUUGUAUUUUGGGGAAAAAAAUGCUGAAUUUUCACUCCUGUGUCAUUCUGUAGGAUAGUGAAUAUUACAACUCUUUGAAAUGGAUCCUGGAGAAUGACCCUACUGAGCUGGACCUCAUGUUCUGCAUAGACGAAGAAAACUUUGGACAGACAUAUCAAGUGGAUUUGAAGCCCAAUGGGUCAGAAAUAAUGGUCACAAAUGAAAACAAAAGGGAAUAUAUCGACUUAGUCAUCCAGUGGAGAUUUGUGAACAGGGUCCAGAAGCAGAUGAACGCCUUCUUGGAGGGAUUCACAGAACUACUUCCUAUUGAUUUGAUUAAAAUUUUUGAUGAAAAUGAGCUGGAGUUGCUCAUGUGUGGCCUCGGUGAUGUGGAUGUGAAUGACUGGAGACAGCAUUCUAUUUACAAGAACGGCUACUGCCCAAACCACCCCGUCAUUCAGUGGUUCUGGAAGGCUGUGCUACUCAUGGACGCCGAAAAGCGUAUCCGGUUACUGCAGUUUGUCACCGGGACAUCGCGAGUACCUAUGAAUGGAUUUGCCGAACUUUAUGGUUCCAAUGGUCCUCAGCUGUUU